RNAcentral lists this long non-coding RNA (307 nucleotides) under Homo sapiens (human). RNAcentral's name for it is "HSALNT0310763". The record is from RNAcentral. Lineage: Eukaryota; Metazoa; Chordata; Mammalia; Primates; Hominidae.
UACCAUUUACCUGCCAGUGAGAAAGGAGAAGAAAAAACAUAGAGGGGAGCCAGUUUUCAUUGUAAGGCUGGGACCUGGAUGUGGUGCCCAUCACUUCUAUGAGCCUGAGCUGAUUGGCGUGGCCACUCCUAGCUGUAAGGGAGGCUGGGAACUACACUGCCCUCUCCAACUGCCUGCCCUGCUCCUGCUCCAGGAUGCCCCGUGUUACUGAAAAGAAGAGGGUAAACGGGGAUGGGGGCAAUUAGAAGUCUCUGCCACUGCUUAUCAUAAUGGCGGAAAGGGCUGUGCAAGACUGAGAACACUGGGA